CAGCGUCUUACUAACAUUGCGUAAGUUUUUCGUAAGUAUUUUCGUAACUUUACGCUUACGUUUAAACUUACGUAAAUCGUUAGUGUGUUUCACAAAACGUUCGUAAGUUUUUUCUUAAACUUACGUUAAAACAGUGCGUAACUCUUCAAAGAAGGUUUUCAGAAUUAGUCGAUAAGGAGGCGUUUUAGUAAUAUUUAUAAUGACCGCAAACAUUUUUGAAAAAGGCUAAACUGGUAUUUCGUAGUCAUCUACGACACUAGUAACUACAGACACUCAUGAAUGUUGCUGAGCAAUUCUUAUUUUUAAGUUCAUAUUGUGCCACACACAGGGGUUUCUCCCGAUUUUAAAUUAAUGCAUUUAUAGAGUAGAAAGGAAAACCCCAUAUGAUCCAUCAUGGAAGAUAUUGAAAGGGUUUUUGUUUGUUCUGAGAAGUGAAAAAACUGUUAUGUCCGCAAGUAAAAAUGUGGAUUUUUUAAAAUAUUUUUAUAUGAAAUAUUUAGCUUAUUCACAUAACCCACAUUUAUAAAAAAAUAUUUUUGUUUCUAUUUAUUUAUUUAUUUAUUUUAUGUCUAUAAAGUAAAGAAAACCCUUUGAUUUUUAGCUCGACUAUUCGAAGAAUAUGAGAGAUAUUGUAGUCGCCCCGGCGUCGGCGUCGGCGUCAGCGUCGGCGUCGGCGUCUGCGUUGGUUAAAGUUUUUUGUAAAGUCAAAUAUCUCAAUUAUUACUUGAGAUAUUCAAUUGAAACUUACAAUACUUAUUUAUAGUAACAAGGUACAUCAGAUUGACAAGUUGGAUAACUCUGCCUACAAUAUUGACAGAAUUAUGCCCCUUUUUAACUUAGAAAUUUUGGUUAAAGUUUUUUGUAAAGUCAAAUAUCUCAAUUAUUGCUUGAGAUAUUCAAUUGAAACUUACAAUACUUAUUUAUAGUAACAAGGUACAUCAGAUUGACAAGUUGGAUAACUCUGCCUACAAUAUUGACAGAAAAUGUAAAGUUUUGCUUGUAAGCUGUUAUCUCAAUAACUACUGAAGGGUUUGUGCCUUUUUUGGGACAAUUUUAUGCAUUCAUAAUAAUAAAGCAGUGAUUUACUUGAUAAAACAUCUUAAUAACAAGCCUUUGUACCUUUUCUGUCAAAUUUAUGUAUUCAUAGGUAAUUAGUAUUAUUAUACUCAAUAAAACACCCUUGUGACAUUACCUUCCGAAUAGUCAAGCCAAUACUGUAUAAUUAGACUCUCUCUAAGGCCUAUAACAUGAAUUUAUAAAAAAAAAUUAGCCCUUUUGUGAACUUAAAAAAUUUAACAUUAUCAAGGCUCUUUUACUAUCAAGCACUUAGAAUAGUCGAGCGUGCUGUCCUACCGACAUCUCUUGUUAAAGAUUUUACGCUAAAACAUGCGUAAAAAGAUGACACAAAAACGCUACAUGCAAACAAAAGAUAUUCACGAUUUUAUCUUAUGGACGUAAUGCUAUCUGAAUAUUUGCAAAUAAAAAACAACUGCAACAGAUAUUUUUAUGUACAUUUGCGAAUCAUACUAUUUAAUGAACAUAUAUAUAGAGGGUAUUCAAGUUUUAACUAUAAAUUCAGGAUUUAUUUUCAUCGAUUUGUAUGAAAAUAAAUAUUUCAUGGGCGACGGUAUCUACGAGUGAUAUAUGCUAUUUUUAUACCAAAAGAUGAAAAUAAAUCCUGUAUUUAUAUUAAAAACAUGAAUUUUCUGUUUAUUAUAUACAUUUUUUACAUUUAAAAAGACUUUCCCUAAAAUUUUGUAUUUUGGCUGAAUUAAACCCAUCAAGACACCUGUGAAAAUAUGGAAAAUUUGUUUCACUUC
Molecule: long non-coding RNA, 1820 nt
Organism: Ruditapes philippinarum (Manila clam)
Lineage: Eukaryota; Metazoa; Mollusca; Bivalvia; Venerida; Veneridae
Exons: 2
Source: RefSeq, a predicted model, not a curated record